RNAcentral lists this ribosomal RNA (484 nucleotides) under uncultured bacterium. RNAcentral describes it as "partial 16S ribosomal RNA". It matches the Rfam family "Bacterial small subunit ribosomal RNA", at positions 29 to 523 of the family's 1533-position model. The record is from RNAcentral.
AGUGAACGCUGGCGGCGUGCUUAACACAUGCAAGUCGAACGAGAACGGGCUAUAGCUUGCUAUAGUUGUCAGCUAAGUGGCGCACGGGUGAGUAAUGUAUAGGUAAUAUGCCUCUUACUAAGGGAUAACAAAUGGAAACGUUUGCUAAUACCUUAUACUCCUUAUUAACAGAAGUUAAUAAGGGAAAGAUUUAUUGGUAAGAGAUUAGCCUGUAUUGUAUCAGUUAGUUGGUGGGGUAAUGGCUUACCAAGACUAUGACACAUAACUGGUUUGAGAAGAUGAUCAGUCACACUGGAACUGAAACACGGUCCAGACUCCUACAGGAGGCAGCAGUGGGGAAUAUUGCACAAUGGACGAAAGUCUGAUGCAGCAACGCCGCGUGGAGGAUGACACAUUUCGGUGCGUAAGCUCCUUUUAUAUGAGAAGAUAAUGACGGUAUUAUAUGAAUAAGCACCGGCUAACUCCGUGCCAGCCGCCGCGGUAA